CGGGAUGUAGCGCAGCUUGGUUAGCGCACAAGUCUGGGGGACUUGAGGUCGCUGGUUCGAAUCCAGUCAUCCCGACCA
RNAcentral lists this transfer RNA (78 nucleotides) under Caloranaerobacter sp. TR13. Its description in RNAcentral is "tRNA-Pro". It matches the Rfam family "tRNA". Rfam says of the family: Transfer RNA (tRNA) molecules are approximately 80 nucleotides in length. The record is from RNAcentral. RNAcentral also lists the same sequence under 1 other name. Lineage: Bacteria; Bacillati; Bacillota; Tissierellia; Tissierellales; Thermohalobacteraceae.